UGCCCGCGAGGGGAGCCCUAGCACAGGUGCUGCAUGGCCGUCGUCAGCUCGUGCCGUGAGGUGUUGGGUUAAGUCCCGCAACGAGCGCAACCCCCGCCGUUAGUUGCCAGCGGUUCGGCCGGGCACUCUAACGGGACUGCCCGCGAAAGCGGGAGGAAGGAGGGGACGACGUCUGGUCAGCAUGGCCCUUACGGCCUGGGCGACACACGUGCUACAAUGCCCACUACAAAGCGAUGCCACCCGGCAACGGGGAGCUAAUCGCAAAAAGGUGGGCCCAGUUCGGAUUGGGGUCUGCAACCCGACCCCAUGAAGCCGGAAUCGCUAGUAAUCGCGGAUCCAGCCAUGCCGCGGUGAAUACGUUCCCGGGCCUU
RNAcentral lists this ribosomal RNA (371 nucleotides) under uncultured Thermus sp. RNAcentral describes it as "bacterial SSU rRNA". It matches the Rfam family "Bacterial small subunit ribosomal RNA", at positions 1014 to 1382 of the family's 1533-position model. Lineage: Bacteria; Thermotogati; Deinococcota; Deinococci; Thermales; Thermaceae. The record is from RNAcentral.